GUAUAGUGUUUUAUAGGCUGUGAAGCCCAUUGACUACAUUCUGCAUCAUACUAUUGGGGUGUGUAAAAAGACGUAGAGCCUGGAAGUUCGAGGGGAGCCCUUUACGAGCAACCCUCGCAUCCGCCUUGCGGCGAGAGGUAUCCAGACCUACAGUCGGUGCACAGGUGGAAAGAUAAAAAUGGCGGGCGUGCACAUUGCUCCGAGGAGCCAGCUACAACCUGAGACACCAUAGUUAUUCGUUAAUGAUCCUUCCGCAGGUUCACCUACGGAAA
This 272-nucleotide unclassified non-coding RNA is filed under the name uncultured fungus. RNAcentral describes it as "sequence contains ITS1". Lineage: Eukaryota; Fungi. The record is from RNAcentral.